ACCAUUUACACAUGUGCAUAUAAAAUCUAAAUUUAAUCCCUGCCUACACCUUACAAACUAAGGAGAGUGCUAUUAAAUGUGUAAAGAAUAAAGUAUUCACAUGUCCUGUAAAUGUGUGAACUUCAUACAUGAAACGCACAUACACAUACAAUACAUAUUGAACAUUCAUGGAGUUACAUGAACAGUAGAAAUCGACCAUACUUUUUUGUAGUGAAGUUGCUGACUAACAUUAAAUUGCACACUGGAUACCUCAACAAGACAACGACCCCAAACACUGCUCAAAUUCUACUAAGGCAUUCAUCCAGAGGAACAAGUACAACGUUCUGGAAUGGCCAUCUCAGUCCCCAGACCUAAAUAUUAUUGAAAAUCUGUGGUGUGCUUUAAAGCGGGCUGUCCAUGCUCGGAAACCAUCAAACUUGACUGAAGUGGUGAUAUUUUGUCAAGUAGAAUGGUCAAAAAUACCUUCAACCAGAAUCCAGACUCUCAUUGGAAGCUAUAGAAAGUGUUUAGAGCAGGGGCUGUUAUUUCUGCAAAAGGAGGAUCUACUAAAUAUUGAUGUCGUUUUUCUGUUGGGGUGCCCAAAUUUAUGCAACUGCCUUCUUUUGUUCAAGUAACGAUUGCACACUUUCUGUAAAUCCUAUAAACUUCAUUUCACUUCUCAAAUAUCACUGUGUUUGUCUGCUAUAUAAUAUAUUUAACUGAAAUUGCUGAUCCGAACAACCAAUGAUUUAUAAAGGAAAAUCAUUAAAAUGAUCAGGGGUGCCUAAACCUUUGCACACGACU
This is a long non-coding RNA of Syngnathus acus (greater pipefish), 783 nucleotides long. RefSeq lists it as uncharacterized. Lineage: Eukaryota; Metazoa; Chordata; Actinopteri; Syngnathiformes; Syngnathidae. The record is from RefSeq and is a predicted model, not a curated record. The transcript has 2 exons.